GCAUCCUGCCUACCAGCUCCAUCUUGAUUUUCUUUUCACACAUUUCACACAGCCGUAAUUAGUUAGACAAACGAUCCAAGGGUAAAGGGAUAAGUCAUGUUUAAAAAAAGUUUCAUCCCAGUCUUUAAUAGAGAUGAUUCUAUGAUAUAUAUUGAUAUAUAUAUAUAUUUUGCAACUAAAACUGUCAGCAAUUUCAGCAUAUGUUAUGUCAAAACAUGAAACCUUGUGAGGUAUCCUGAAGAUUCCACUCAUGAAGACCCCCAUUUUGUGUGUAUAAAUUCUUGUCAUUUUUAAUCAAAGUCCACUAAACAAUUAUUAAUUAAGAAAAUCUUGGUAUGUAGACACGGAGCACUCUGCUUGACAAAGGCCGUCCUUCCCAGCACCUCUCCAUGAACACUC
Molecule: long non-coding RNA, 399 nt
Filed under: Bos taurus (domestic cattle)
Lineage: Eukaryota; Metazoa; Chordata; Mammalia; Artiodactyla; Bovidae
Description: long non-coding RNA NONBTAT006608
Source: RNAcentral